Long non-coding RNA from Eriocheir sinensis (Chinese mitten crab), 7020 nucleotides. RefSeq lists it as uncharacterized. The record is from RefSeq and is a predicted model, not a curated record. NCBI's taxonomy places the organism in Eukaryota, Metazoa, Arthropoda, Malacostraca, Decapoda, Varunidae. The transcript has 6 exons.
CGCUGAUUGGCUGGGAGUCUUCGCGUCACAACAGCCAUGGCCACCUGUCAGCCCCACGCCAUGGCCCCGCUGGCUCCCACUUUUUCUUGCCUCCACGAGCUUGCCAGGGACUUGUGGAGUGUAAUUUGAGUUGCCCUGACACAACAUGUAAGGGGCAGAAACAAGAUUACAGCACCCUAUACCUACCACGACAUGCUACUACACACAAUACUAGCACAGCCAUACCAAGAAAACAAGGUGGACAUUUUAGAACUAUUGUUAUGUAAAGAAGCAAUAAGAAUGUGAAGUCAAGAAAGACCUGAUCAGAAGAAUGUGGAGGAAGAGAAGAAGAAAAGAAAACUGACCUCUUUUACAAUACACAAGUUACUGGACCCCUCCUUUUUACACAGACUACUACUACUAUAUUGCAGCUUUAAUCAAGAAACUUGAAACAGAUGCAUAAAUGGAAGGAAGGAAAUUAAAUAUAUGCAAGAAUUUUGGAAGAAUCGCUUAAAAUCCGAGAAGAGACGGCAGCACUCAACCAGGCACAAGAAAAUCAAGAAUAGGCUCCGAACUGCACUGAACUGAACUGUAAACUGAAUCAGAAGGGAGAUAUUAAAUAUACUCAAGAAUUUUAGAAGAAUCGCUUAAAAAUCAGAGAAGAGAAGGCAGCACAACCAAGCACAAGAAGACCAUUUAGAGGGGCAAAGGCAACCCUCCGAACAGAACUGGAAACAAAUGGAAGGGAGGAAAUUAAAUAUACUCAAGACUUUUGGAAGAAUCACUUAAGAUUGGAGAAGAAAAGGCAGCACAAGAAAGCCAAGGCACUCCCUCCAAACUACACUGCACUGAACUGACCUGGUUACGGCGCCUGUACAAGUGAUAUGGGAUGGAGUACUGGCGGCAGGGCGGCUCUACAAAAGCUGCUGCGGGAGUGCUGCCCUCCACAGCAAGCAAGGGGCUGCCCUGCCCAGACCACAGCAAGAGGAGGAAGAGCUCUGCAUUACUAAGUUAAGUACCUCACUAUGACAUUCUGAGGGUUUGGCCUCAUUUUUGCCUUCUAUUCAAAACUUUUUACUUUCUAACGAACCUUAAUCUUUUUUCUCAGUCUGCCUCCUCCUCCUCCUUCAACUUCCUUUACCUCCUUGUGUGAAUCUGUCCGUCCCGAGAUCCAGCGAGACCAUCCCGACGUCGUAACACCCGUUUGGGAGUGGGGGGACUCAUGAAGCUGGGGGCGGCAGCCCUAAGGUGGGGAGGGUUGCGCCGACACCUCCACUCCGUUUCGGCGGAAUGUGGCUGGCUAGGGUGGCCUGAACCACUGUCUGGGUUGUUUGUCGUUCAGUCGGAUUGAGGAUCUGCCUCCCUUGAGGUGCACAUGUCAUAGUGGUGGCAGAAGAGAGAGUGAGUGAAGCUGAUGUCAUCCCGACGUCGUAACACCGUUGGGCGGGGCGGGGCUCUCAUGUCAAGUCUCCCCGCGGUGCACAUGUCACAGAGGUGCAAAUAGCAUGGCCUUCUUUCCUAUCUUUUCCCCCUCCUCCUCACCCCCCCCCCCACACACACACCUCCUGCUGUUAUAUCGUCACCCUCAUAAAGUAAUUGCCUAAGUCAUUUUUCAGUGAUUUCCAUUUAUGUUAAGUUGUCUCAGAUAUUCAGGGUUUGAGUGUUCUAGAAUUAACCUUUUUAUUUCUGCCUAAAUCUUAAGCCAAAUGAGAUGAUGAUGUUCUCUUCUUGAAAAAUAGAAAUUAACGACUUAGGCGGUUUCUUUACGAAGGUGGCGAGAUUGUAAUAGGUUUUGCACCCUCUGUUUAGGGAUGUGCACUAAUUUUCGUCUCUUCUCUUCCCCUCCUCCUCCCCUGGCUGGCUGGGGAACGGAGGAGGAGCACUAGGACGAGGAGGUGAAGGGAGGCGCAGCAGGAACAGAAAGCUGCUAUGGGAGUGCUGCCCUCCACAGCAAGCAAGGGGCUGCCCUGCCCAGACCACAGCAAGCAAGGGGCUGCCCUGCCCAGACCACAGCAAGAGGAGGAAGAGCUCUGCAUUACUAAGUUAAGUGCCUCACUAUGACAUUCUGAGGGUUUGGCCUCAUUUUUGCCUUCUAUUCAAAACUUUUUACUUUCUAACGAACCUUAAUCUUUUUCUCAGCCUGCCUCCUCCUCCUCCUCCAACUUCCUUUACCUCCUUGUGUGAAUCUGUCCGUCCCGAGAUCCGGCGAGACCAUCCCGACGUCGUAACACCCGUUUGGGAGUGGGGGGACUCAUGAAGCUGGCGGCGGCACCCCUAAGGUGGGGAGGGUUGCGCCGACACCUCCACUCCGUUUCGGCGGAAUGUGGCUGGCUAGGGUGGCCUGAACCACUGUCUGGGUUGUUUGUCGUUCAGUCGGAUUGAGGAUCUGCCUCCCUUGAGGUGCACAUGUCAAAGUGGUGGCAGAAGAGAGAGUGAGUGAAGCUGAUGUCAUCCCGACGUCGUAACACCGUUGGGCGGGGCGGGGCUCUCAUGUCAAGUCUCCCCGCGGUGCACAUGUCACAGAGGUGCAAAUAGCAUGGCCUUCUUUCCUAUCUUUUCCCCCUCCUCCUCACCCCCCCUCCCCCACACACACCUCCUGCUGUUAUAUCGUCACCCUCAUAAAGUAAUUGCCUAAGUCAUUUUUCAGUGAUUUCCAUUUUUGUUAAGUUGUCUCAGAUAUUCAGGGUUUGAGUGUUCUAGAAUUGACCUUUUUAUUUCUGCCUAAAUCUUAAGCCAAAUGAGAUGAUGAUGUUCUCUUCUUGAAAAAUAGAAAAUAACGACUUAGGCGGUUUCUUUACGAAGGUGGCGAGAUUGUAAUAGGUUUUGCACCCUCUGUUUAGGGAUGUGCACUAAUUUUCGUCUCUUCUCUUCCCCUCCUCCUCCCCUGGCUGGCUGGGGAACGGAGGAGGAGCACUAGGACGAGGAGGUGAAAGGAGGCGGAGGGAGAUACGACUCGAGCACAAGGAGGCAAGAGGCAAGAAGCAGAGACGCAGGAACAGAAAGGCAGCCAGAUGGUCGAUGCUGUGAAGAGGAGGAAGAUGACUGCAGGAGGCGGUGUGUGUGUGUCGGGGAAGGAGGCGACAGCACCACCCUCACACACAGCGGGUUAAGGCCUGCAAGAGAGCCCAGUCAACGAAGAGGAAAAGAAGACAAGAAGAAAGAAGAAAGAAGAGGGAAAACAGGAGGAAGGGAUAUUUUUUCUGUCUAUACCUGAAGUGUGAUGAAUUUACAAAGGGUAUAUUUAAGUCUGAUAUACUGCGGUUCAUUUAGAUAAGGUAUUUUAGGAUAUAUUUAACGGUACCAGUGUGAAGUUGGCAGGAGAGGAUACUCUUUCUGUCUAUACGAGAGGUCUGAAGUGUGAUGUAUGUAUCAAGGGUAUAUUUAAGUCUGAUAUACUGCGGUGCAUUUAAAUAAGGUACUUUGGAGAUGGUAAAAUGGUCUCCGACUCCUUUAUUGUGGUGCUGUGCGGUUCAUUUAUUGUGGUGUGGUAUGGUUCGUUUAUUGUUGUGCAGUAUGGUUCGUUUACUGUGGAGUCAAAUUUUUUUAUAUCCGACUCCACACCCAUGUUAGAGUGUAAGAGUAUUGAUUGAAUAUAUUUAAGGUGCUGGGGGAUACUGUGGUGCUCCUGUCUUAACAACCCAUUCUGCUUCUGCAUAAUAACCCGUAUUGCUAACGCAUAGCAACCCGCGUUUUUUCCGCUGUUGCAAUAACCCGUACUGCUGCAUGACGCAUAGCAACCCGUGUUUUUUUCCGCUGUUGCAAUAACCCGUACUGCUGCAUGACGCAUAGCAACCCGUGUUUUUUCCACUGCCGCAACGACCCGUACUGCUAUCGCAUAAUGACCCGUGCUGCUUCUGCUAUUGUAACAACUCUUACUGCUGCUAUUGCAAUAACUUACUGCUGCUUCCAUCAAAAAACUUGUAUUGUUUCCGCUGCUUCGAUUAUCACAACAACCCACAUUGCUGCUGCUGCUGCCCAUGCGCUGCCCAGAUCUUCAAACAGUGGCUUGGUUGACGUGCAGCGUUGGCCAAGCAGGUCAUGCAUCAUGGCAGUCACUAGAGAUAAAAUUCGCCUGCGCCACUUCUGCUUCUGCUGUCACAACCCGCUGUACGUUGCCAACUUGGCAACAACCCAACCGAUGAAUUUUCUGAUCAAAGAUCAAAGAGAGGAUUAGGCCUUCAGGGGACACCUCUUAAAUAAAAACGCGCCUGGGACUUUUACCUCAGAGGUGGUGUGGAAAAAAAGUCCAGUCACGAAAAUAAGUAUCUUAUACUCCAUGAAAGUGUCUCAGUCUUAUGAGAACACAAAGGUUGAGAGGGCUCAAACAUAUAAGGUUCUGUUGUUUCCUGCAUACACUACCAUGUUAGCAGUAAGGGUACUAAAUUCUGAUCUCUGUACAAAACAACCAAAUAUACAUAAUAAGGAAAAGAAAGUUGAAUAAAAUGUUUGCCUGCAUUCUCCGUCAGCAGCGUAGACGUAACAAGGGUUGAAAAAAUGAGUUAUUUAUUACAGCUGCUGGCCAACGUCUUGACCCCAGAGUCUUUGUAUUUGUCUCCGCGUCCUCUGCACUACACUGCAUAGAAUCUGGCGAGUCUGGGUUGUGACAGCUAUUUCCCAAAGCCUCCAAGGAUACCAGUCAGGUUUAUGAGUGUUUUUCGUGUUGUUGUGGAAGCCUUGUUGAACUAUCUAGGCUCGCAAAUCUACACACGGAAAUACUACCAACACAACCCAUAUGAAAGCCUUUCCUAAAACAUAAAACCUCUACCAGUGCCUUACCAGAAAGAACCAAAGCUUACCAAAUACCCAAAAAUCUCUACUAUUUGUGGUUAACUCAAGGUAUUGAAUUUUCACUUAUUUUUUUUAUACUGAUGUUAGUGUCCCUUAUAUGUCUUGUUAUUAAGGGGAAUGUUUGAGUCUAUUAUUUGUUCUAUAUAUAAGGUAUUGAAUUUGCACUUAUUUAUGUCGUGUCAUUGAGGGAGUGUUUGGGUCUCAUUUUUUUGUUUUGAUGCCCCUUUCAUGGAUCUAAAUAAUGACAUCCACCUUAAAUGAAAUGUAUGUGUCUGUGGUCAUUCCAAAGCUGAAGGUUGGUAUCUACUCCACUGGUUUUCAUAUGUUUUCUUGGACAGUUCAGAUUAUUAGCAAAUGUUUUUACCCGUCUGCUGUGAUUGGCACGGAUUUCGCCUUCACUGGUAGCCUGGUAACAAGUACUCCCAGAUCAUUCUCUGCCUCUGUGGUGGAUAGUGGAUUGUUUCCCAUGUGGUAUUGGUAUGCUGGAUAUCCCCUCCCAAGGUGCAGGACUAUAUAUUUUUCUUCAUUGAAUUGUAGCAGCCACUUUUUGCCCAAGGGAGGAAGGCGGUGCAACCACCCAGACUGCUGGAGAGAGAUGCCCAAUUUUUUCAAGGAGGAGGCCCAACAACGGGGCUGAGGGCGUCGGAAAGAGCCCACCUUUCCACUCCCAUGGCACCGGGCAGGUCUCGAACCCAUGCGCUCCCAGCACCCCACCGGGAGUGGAGUGUUUCCCAUGUGGUAUUGGCAGUGGUGUACCGAGGGAGGGGGCCAUGAAGCCAUGCCCCCCCCCCUUUGCAAAGAAAAAUAAUAAUGAAUAAAUAAAUGUUACAGGAAAAUAAUAGGAAUAUGUAUAUAUUAGUAUUACGAUUACGAAUGUGUGUGUGUGUGUGGAGUUGAGAGCUCAGUGGCACUGACUGACCGAGUCAUUUCGCCUUUGUUUUUGUUUUGAGUUAAUGGUAGGAUAUAAGGUGUGCUCUGAGUGAAAAAAAAGUAAGGUGUUAAAUGAUGGGUUCAUAAAAUUGUGUGUAGAGUGCGAUGUCAAGCUGUCAACUGGCAGAGUAGUAUUUGUAGCGGGAGACAGGAAGAAGAGUAGAAAUGCAACGUUUUGGAGUCUUCUGAUUAAUGUAAAAUCACUUAGGUUUAAGGACAGACCACCAAGUCUGGACCAUGGGGUCUGUGUGGUCUGAUUUUCUAUGUAAAUCUAUGUAAAAAAUGAGAUUGGGAUGGCUCUGGCAGAGAGAGAGAACGCGAAAGUCAUAAGUGUGCCUUCUCUCCUUCUUGCCUCUCAUAUUUACUUGAUUUUAAGUGUAAGGUGGAGUCAAAGUGAUUGGAGGACUGUGUACUGUAGAGGCACCAAGUGAACUUGUCUGGUGACAGUGAUGAGUACGUAAUAUGCUUGUGUAUUAUGAUGGGGAGAGUGGCAGGCGACGUGUAUGGCACCUGUAAGGUUGACCUUUGCCGCUGUAUUACCAUCUUUAAUGACCGUUUUGUGCUUGACAGUGUAUACAUACAUACAUACAUACAUACUUACAUACAUACAUACAUACAUACAUACAUUCUUUUUUCUCUUUUAUUUUCUUUCUUUUUUUCCUUCCUACACACACACACACACACACACACACACACACACACACCGCUCCGGUAGCUCAAUCUGUUAGAGCGCCGCGCUGCAAGGCUUCACGGCCAAACAGGCGGCGGUUGGAGCCCCGCUCAGGCCGGAUUCUUUCCGUUGACUAGGAGUGGUUACUGUCCCCCCCUUGAGCAAGGGGGAUGGGGGUGUGAGGUCCUGGCAGUACCCAGAGGUCGACGAUAAUGUUUACGUAUAUCUAUUUAUUUAUUUUUCUUUCCCGGCCGUUCAGAAGAUCACAUCCCCCUAUGGCCUGGCAGACCUUAUGUGUUCCGCGCCGCCUGUAAUGUAAGUGUGUGUGUGUGUGUGUGUGUAAGUUCUUUAUAAUUUUGUAUUUUGUCUUUACCUCACAAUUCCUCCUCAUUUCUCUCUAUCUCAUAUUAUCUCAAACUGUUAUAAUAUUCCUCACAAUCUCGUUUUAAUUUUCUUCUUUACCUAUAUUGCUAUAGCUGUACGUUCUUAAUUCAUUUCAUACGUUAAGUCUUGUUUCUAUUGUUCUUUAAUUGUAAUCUGCAUGUCUUAAUUUACCUUACAGUUAAUUGUUCCUUAUUUCUCCUCCUCAUAUUUCUUUGUUAAUCUUUUUCUUUAUUCUCACUCACCUCAAAACUGUUCAGCAUUUAAUUAUC